AGAGGAAAGAAAAUAUCCUUCCCUUUCUUUAUAUGCUAGGAGCUUCUACAUUUUCUUUCCUGCUUCUCAGAUUUUGUGAACACUGACAUCUCUGGCAAAGUCCUGGACUGUCAGUGACUGGGGACAUGUGAUGCUCAGUGGAUCUGUCUCCAUGGCUGUGGUAUCAAUUCUUCAGGGCUCCUAAUAGCCAGUCAGGGUAAAUCAAGAAACCCGUGAUUAUUGUCUGUUCCUUUGAAAUGCCUCUGCUGCUGCUGCUGCUGCUGCAGGAAGAAAGACAGAGAGGCAUGCAGUCCUCGCACGCUGGCAUUGCUGUUGCCUGUUUUAACGAGCCAUGGCAACCAAGAAGAGAGGAUCCUGGGGCAUCUCAGCUCUCAGGGUGCCAUCUGCUGCGGCUCAGCUGAAAAAGCCCCCAUCUCCCCGUGUUUGGUGGGAAGGCGGUAGGAGGAGUGAAGCAGAUGUCUGCUUUCUGUCUCUGACAGGGGACCCAAUCCAUUGCUUUUUGACGUCAAUAGCACUGUGGCUUUUUCAAGGGCAUGCAUAUAUCUUGUCAAUGUAGCUUAACAAGCCUGCAUCACUUCUCUGCUCUGGUCUUGCACAGUGUAGCAGGCUUCAGGAAGCACUAUACUUUGUGGCCAAGCAGACUUAGCAUAAAGGAAGGAUGGUGGAUAAAAUAUGUGAAUUUCAAGAGAAAAGACUUCAGAGACUCAUGUCAAAA
This 715-nucleotide long non-coding RNA is filed under the name Anser brachyrhynchus (Pink-footed goose). RNAcentral describes it as "lncRNA (ENSABRG00000012649.1)". The record is from RNAcentral. Lineage: Eukaryota; Metazoa; Chordata; Aves; Anseriformes; Anatidae.